CCUACGGGUGGCAGCAGUAGGGAAUCUUCCACAAUGGGCGCAAGCCUGAUGGAGCAACACCGCGUGAGGGAAGAAGGGUUUCGGCUCGUAAAGCUCUGUUGUUGGAGAAGAACGUUCGUGAGAGUAACUGUUCACGCCGUGCCGGUAUCCAACCAGAAAGUCACGGCUAACUACGUGCCAGCAGCCGCGGUAAUACGUAGGUGGCAAGCGUUAUCCGGGUUUAUUGGGCGUACAGCGCGCGAAGGCGGUUGCGUAGGUCUGAUGUGAAAGCCUUCGGCUUAACCGAAGAAGUGCAUCGGAAACCGGGCGACUUGAGUGCAGAAGAGGACAGUGGAAUUCCAGGUGUAGGGGUGGAAUGCGUAGAGAUAUGGAAGAACACCAGUGGCGAAGGCGGUUGGCUGGUCUGCAACUGACGCUGAGGCUCGAAAGCAUGGGGAGCGAACAGGAUUAGAUACCCUUGUAGUC
Molecule: ribosomal RNA, 465 nt
Filed under: uncultured bacterium
Lineage: Bacteria
Description: partial 16S ribosomal RNA
Rfam family: Bacterial small subunit ribosomal RNA
Source: RNAcentral